Molecule: ribosomal RNA, 405 nt
Filed under: Bacillota bacterium
Lineage: Bacteria; Bacillati; Bacillota
Also listed under: 1 other name
Description: Firmicutes bacterium partial 16S ribosomal RNA
Rfam family: Bacterial small subunit ribosomal RNA
Source: RNAcentral
UGGGGAAUCUUGCGCAAUGGGCGAAAGCCUGACGCAGCAACGCCGCGUGCGGGAAGAAGGCCUUAGGGUUGUAAACCGCUUUCAGUAGGAACGAAAAUGACGGUACCUGCAGAAGAAGGUGCGGCCAACUACGUGCCAGCAGCCGCGGUGACACGUAGGCACCAAGCGUUGUCCGGAUUUAUUGGGCGUAAAGAGCUCGUAGGCGGUUGAGUAAGUCGGGUGUGAAAACUCUGGGCUUAACCCAGAGCCGCCACUCGAUACUGCUCUGACUUGAGUUCGGUAGGGGAGCAGGGAAUUCCUAGUGUAGCGGUGAAAUGCGCAGAUAUUAGGAGGAACACCGGUGGCGAAGGCGCUGCUCUGGGCCGAAACUGACGCUGAGGAGCGAAAGCGUGGGUAGCAAACAGG